CAAUAGCGUAUAUUAACGUUGUUGCAGUUAAAAAGCUCGUAGUUGGAUUUCUGGAGGGAGCGUCGGCCCGUAUUUACGAGUGCGUGACGUCUCUGUCCAUCCUUGCGGAAAGGCACGGCAUUGAUUUGUUGUGUCGGAUCGCAUCAUUUACUGUGAAAAAAUUAGAGUGUUCAAAGCAGGCUUUCGCUUGAAUACAUUAGCAUGGAAUAAUAAGAUAGGACUUUGGUGCUAUUUUGUUGGUUGAGCCUAAAGUAAUGAUUAAUAGGGAUAGUUGGGGGCACCUGUAUUGCGUUGUCAGAGGUGAAAUUCUUGGAUUUACGCAAGACAAACAGCUGCGAAAGCGUCUGCCAAGGAUGUUUUCAUUAA
This 366-nucleotide ribosomal RNA is filed under the name uncultured eukaryote. Its description in RNAcentral is "partial 18S ribosomal RNA". It matches the Rfam family "Eukaryotic small subunit ribosomal RNA", at positions 592 to 976 of the family's 1831-position model. The record is from RNAcentral.